AUGUCUGCUCUCUGCUACCAACUGUCGGCAAAGAGAGCCUGGCCGGAGCGAGAGACGGCACACACAUCGCGGUCGCGGACGGCGGCAGCGGCGAUGGGAAGCCCGCUGGGCGGCUGGCCGAGCCACAACCCGCACAACUUCAGCCAGCUCGUCCCGGCUGACCCCUCCGCCCAGCCCACGAAUGUCACACCAACAACUUACAUUGCAGCACAUAGGACAGAUCCACCUCCAAAUCAAGUGAUCACGACGGAGCCCAGGAACAUCCUGUUGAGGCAUUUCUACCAGAACUCGGAGAACAAGCCGAGGCCGAAGAGGGCCGCCCCGGAGAGUGCCUCCGUGCGCAACGGCAAGCAGGCGAGGAGCCCCGCCGAGGACGGAAGCCAGUCGAGCACGAGAAGCUGA
RNAcentral lists this ribosomal RNA (402 nucleotides) under Triticum aestivum (bread wheat). RNAcentral describes it as "partial small subunit ribosomal RNA". Lineage: Eukaryota; Viridiplantae; Streptophyta; Magnoliopsida; Poales; Poaceae. The record is from RNAcentral.